Molecule: small nucleolar RNA, 187 nt
Filed under: Hanseniaspora valbyensis NRRL Y-1626
Lineage: Eukaryota; Fungi; Ascomycota; Saccharomycetes; Saccharomycodales; Saccharomycodaceae
Description: Small nucleolar RNA snR35
Rfam family: Small nucleolar RNA snR35
Source: Rfam by way of RNAcentral
GUAAAUAUCGUGCGGAAUAAGUCCCAAGACUCUAAAAACGUGUUGUUCAUAGAGUUCUCAGUACUCACUUAUGAAUGUCAAGUCUAAUGGGUAGAUUAAAGUAGAAAAAUUAUUCGUUCUUAAUGCUCUAAUGUAAUUGUGUUUAUUUACAAAACAUGCAAUUACGGGCUGGUUGGAUAAUACAUUU